UGCCCCUCACGAGGACAGCAUCCUCUGCCCUAGCCUUGCCGUGGAGUUCCCAGCGCCGUCGCCGCGACAGUUUUCCCUCUCCUCAGCCGUGGCCUAGGAGCAAGGGCCGACCGACUGUUCUACCUCCUGAUCGUCGGCCAUCAUCACUCGACUGCCAUCAUUCAUCGCCGGAGGUGCUUCUUGUGUUUGUGGUCAUUGUGGUCGUAGGAUUCUACCGAGCCUCUUCCCCAUCGGUUGAUUGUUGACGCUGGGCCCUGGUUCUUUUCUCCACUGCCGGCUUCUUCUUCCAUUAGCCACCGACAGAGAGGGAACGAGGGGCACUGGUUAGGAGAGGCAGAUUUGAGUAGCAGUAACUUCUAGUUCCGGUCAUUAUAUCACCAAGGCACGCGUCUCCGACAGUGACUCAACAGUCGGGCAUACGCAAUUGGGAGCUUGACGCGAGACGUGUUUCUCAAUUAUUGGAUUUGGACCACUUUAUUGGAGGCGGGUACUUUGACUUGUGUCUUUUGAUAUGCAUGAUAAUAUGUUUAACAUAUAACAGUAAUUGUG
This is a long non-coding RNA of Zingiber officinale, 549 nucleotides long. RefSeq lists it as uncharacterized. NCBI's taxonomy places the organism in Eukaryota, Viridiplantae, Streptophyta, Magnoliopsida, Zingiberales, Zingiberaceae. The transcript has 4 exons. The record is from RefSeq and is a predicted model, not a curated record.